Molecule: transfer RNA, 72 nt
Filed under: Chloroparvula japonica
Lineage: Eukaryota; Viridiplantae; Chlorophyta; Chloropicophyceae; Chloropicales; Chloropicaceae
Description: tRNA-Thr
Rfam family: tRNA
About the family: Transfer RNA (tRNA) molecules are approximately 80 nucleotides in length. Their secondary structure includes four short double-helical elements and three loops (D, anti-codon, and T loops).
Source: RNAcentral
GCCGACGUAGCUCAAUGGUAGAGCAACGGUUUUGUAAACCGUAGGUUAGGGGUUCAAAUCCCCUCGUUGGCU